CAACACUGUAUUCUAUAUGAGCACCAAUAUGGUUUUCAUAAAAACUACUCCACAGAUAUGGCUAUUUCGCAACUUGUGGAUAAAAUCUUUACAUCCCUGAACAACAAUGAACGGUAUCUUUUGAGAUUUAUCCAAAGCGUUUGACACGGUCGAUCAUUAAAUAUUACUUUCUAGAUUGCAUUAUUAUGUUUGUUGUGAUUAAACAUAUAAUUGGAUAUAUAGUUAAUGUUUAUGACAGAGAACAAUGUGUUUAUGCAAACGGCUGUGCAUCUACCAGGGCCAAGAUAUCCUGUGGUGUGACACGGUGUUCAAUACCAGUCUAGUUUUAUAGUGGAGCGUAAGGGUUUUACCUGUCUAGUUUUAUAGUGGAGCGUAAGGGUUUUACCUGUCUAGUUUUCAUAGUGGAGGGUAAGAGUUAGUGGUAAGGGUUUUACCAGUCUAGUUUUAUAGUGGAGCGUAAGGGUUUUACCUGUCUAGUUUUCAUAGUGGAGGGUAAGGGUUAGUGGUAAGGAUUUUACCAGUCUAGUUUUAUAGUGGAGCGUAAGGGUUUUACCUGUCUAGUUUUCAUAGUGGAGGGUAAGAGUUAGUGGUAAGGGUUUACCAGUCUAGUUUUCAUAGUGGAGGGUAAGGGUUAGUGGUAAGGAUUUUACCAGUCUAGUUUUCAUAGUGGAGAGUUAGUGGUAAGGAUUUUACCAGUCUAGUUUUCAUAGUGGAGGGUUAGUGGUAAGGAUUUUACCAGUCUAGUUUUCAUAGUGGAGGGUUAGUGGUAAGGAUUUUACCAGUCUAGUUUUCAUAGUGGAGGGUGAGGGUUUACCAGUCUAGAUUUUAUAGUGGAGGGUAAGGGUUAGUGGUAAGGGUUUACCAGUCAAGUUUUUAUAGUGGAGGGUAAGAGUUUACUAGUCUCGUUUUUAUAGUGGAGGGUAAGGGUUAGUGGUAAGGGUUUACCAGUCUAGUUUUUAUAGUGGAGGGUAAGGGUUUACCAGUCUCAUUCUUAUAGUGGAGGGUAAGGGUUAGUGGUAAGGGUUUACCAGUCUAGUUUUCAUAGUGGAGGGUAAGAGUUAGUGGUAAGGGUUUACCAGUCUAGUUUUCAUAGUGGAGGGUAAGGGUUAGUGGUGAGGGUUUACCAGUCUAGUUUUCAUAGUGGAGGGUUAGUGGUGAGGGUUUACCAGUCUAGUUUUCAUAGUGGAGGGUUAGUGGUGAGGGUUUUACCAGUCUAGUUUUCAUAGUGGAGGAUAAGGGUUCGUGGUGAGGGUUUACCAGUCUAGUUUUCGUAGUGGAGGGUUAGUGGUGAGGGUUUUACCAGUCUAGUUUUCAUAGUGGAGGGUAAGAGUUAGUGGUAAGGGUUUACCAGUCUAGUUUUCAUAGUGGAGGGUAAGGGUUAGUGGUGAGGGUUUACCAGUCUAGUUUUCUUAGUGGAGGGUUAGUGGUGAGGGUUUACCAGUCUAGUUUUCAUAGUGAAGGGUUAGUGGUGAGGGUUUUACCAGUCUAGUUUUCAUAGUGGAGGAUAAGGGUUAGUGGUGAGGGUUUACCAGUCUAGUUUUCGUAGUGGAGGGUUAGUGGUGAGGGUUUUACCAGUCUAGUUUUCAUAGUGGAGGUGAAGGGUUAGUGGUGAGGGUUUUACCAGUCUAGUUUUCAUAGUGGAGGAUAAGGGUUAGUGGUGAGGGUUUACCAGUCUAGUUUUCAUAGUGGAGGGUUAGUGGUGAGGGUUUUACCAGUCUAGUUUUCAUAGUGGAGGGUUAGUGGUGAGGGUUUUACCAGUCUAGUUUUCAUAGUGGAGGGUUAGUGGUGAGGGUUUUACCAGUCUAGUUUUCACAGUGGAGGGUUAGUGGUGAGGGUUUUACCAGUCUAGUUUUCAUAGUGGAGGGUAAGAGUUAGUGGUAAGGGUUUACCGGUCUAGUUUUCAUAGUGGAGGGUAAGGGUUAGUGGUAUGGGUUUACCAGUGUAGUUUUUAUAGUGGAUUGUACUAAUUUGACCUAAUUUGUUAUUCCUAAUCUAUAUCAAUGACCUUGCUGCUGGGUCUUCUACCGUACCUCCCCUUCUCUUUACUGAUGAUGCCAAUUAGAUUUUAUCACACAAGCAUUUUAAUUCACUAAUUAAUGAAACCAACUCAGGCAUGGCCACAUUUUCUAAAUGAUUCCAGAUAAACAAAUGAUCUUUAAACAUAAUACAUCCAACUUUAUUAUAUUCAAUUAAAUGGAACAAGUCACAUCCACUAGAUUCCUCAGAGCUCUAAUUGAUGAAACGUUAUCUAGGGAGGAACAUAUUUAAUUUGUCUGCAGCAAAGUGACGACAUCUGUUGGUAUCAUCAGAUAGAUGAGUGGUUUGGUUCAUCAGGUUUGCUUCUCAACUCUACAGUAGAGCUUCAUUGACCCAUCUCUCAUUUUACUGUAAUAUUGUCUGGGCCAGUACAUAUGCCUCCUAUCUACACAGAUUACUCAUCGUACAAAAGAAAAAUGUGCAAGACUAGACGCCACUAAUUACUAGAGGUCGACCGAUUAAUCAGAAUGGCCGAUUAAUUAGGGCCGAUUUCAAGUUUUUUUUACACCUUUAUUUAACUAGGCAAAUCAGAUUAAGAACACAUUCUUAUUUACAAUGACGGCCUAGGAACGGGGGUUAACUGCCUUGUUCAGCGGCAGAACAACUGAUUUUUACCUUGUCACCUCGGGGAUUCGUUUUUGCAACCUUCCAGUUACUAGUCCAACGCUCUAACCACCUGCCUUACAUUGCACUCCACGAGGAGCCUGCGUGGCAGGCUGACUACCUGUUACGCGAGGGCAGC
RNAcentral lists this long non-coding RNA (2779 nucleotides) under Salmo salar (Atlantic salmon). Its description in RNAcentral is "lncRNA (ENSSSAG00000114591.1)". Lineage: Eukaryota; Metazoa; Chordata; Actinopteri; Salmoniformes; Salmonidae. The record is from RNAcentral.